RNAcentral lists this ribosomal RNA (229 nucleotides) under uncultured bacterium. RNAcentral describes it as "partial 16S ribosomal RNA". It matches the Rfam family "Bacterial small subunit ribosomal RNA", at positions 568 to 796 of the family's 1533-position model. The record is from RNAcentral.
CGCGUAGGCGGCCCUAUAAGUCAGAUGUGAAAGCCCGGGGCUUAACCCCGGAAGUGCAUUUGAAACUAUAGGGCUUGAGUAUGGGAGAGGGAAGUGGAAUUCCUGGUGUAGAGGUGAAAUUCGUAGAUAUCAGGAGGAACACCGGUGGCGAAGGCGACUUCCUGGACCAAUACUGACGCUGAGGCGCGAAGGCGUGGGGAGCAAACAGGAUUAGAUACCCUGGUAGUCC